This 194-nucleotide ribosomal RNA is filed under the name uncultured bacterium. RNAcentral's name for it is "partial 16S ribosomal RNA". It matches the Rfam family "Bacterial small subunit ribosomal RNA", at positions 338 to 524 of the family's 1533-position model. The record is from RNAcentral.
CCUACGGGAGGCAGCAGUAGGGAAUCUUCCGCAAUGGACGAAAGUCUGACGGAGCAACGCCGCGUGAGCGAAGAAGGCCUUCGGGUCGUAAAGCUCUGUUGUUAGGGAAGAACAAGUAACGCAGUAACUGGCGUUACUGUGACGGUACCUAACGAGAAAGCCACGGCUAACUACGUGCCAGCAGCCGCGGUAAU